CAUUACCGAGUUUACAACUCCCAAACCCCUGUGAACAUACCUUAAUGUUGCCUCGGCGGAUCAGCCCGCGCCCCGUAAAACGGGACGGCCCGCCAGAGGACCCAAACUCUAAUGUUUCUUAUUGUAACUUCUGAGUAAAACAAACAAAUAAAUCAAAACUUUCAACAACGGAUCUCUUGGUUCUGGCAUCGAUGAAGAACGCAGCAAAAUGCGAUAAGUAAUGUGAAUUGCAGAAUUCAGUGAAUCAUCGAAUCUUUGAACGCACAUUGCGCCCGCUGGUAUUCCGGCGGGCAUGCCUGUUCGAGCGUCAUUUCAACCCUCAAGCCCCCGGGUUUGGUGUUGGGGAUCGGCUCUGCCUUCUGGCGGCGCCGCCCCCGAAAUACAUUGGCGGUCUCACAGCCUCCAUUGCGUAGUAGCUAACACCUCGCAACUGGAACGCGGCGCGGCCAUGCCGUAAAACCCCAACUUCUGAAUGUUGACCUCGGAUCAGGUAGGAAUACCCGCUGAACUUAAGCAUAUCAA
RNAcentral lists this ribosomal RNA (522 nucleotides) under Fusarium torulosum. RNAcentral's name for it is "eukaryotic LSU rRNA". The stretch from base 157 to 310 matches the Rfam family "5.8S ribosomal RNA". The record is from RNAcentral. Lineage: Eukaryota; Fungi; Ascomycota; Sordariomycetes; Hypocreales; Nectriaceae.